This 91-nucleotide transfer RNA is filed under the name Dipodomys ordii (Ord's kangaroo rat). It matches the Rfam family "tRNA". Rfam says of the family: Transfer RNA (tRNA) molecules are approximately 80 nucleotides in length. Their secondary structure includes four short double-helical elements and three loops (D, anti-codon, and T loops). Further hydrogen bonds mediate the characteristic L-shaped molecular structure. tRNAs have two regions of fundamental functional importance: the anti-codon, which is responsible for specific mRNA codon recognition, and the 3' end, to which the tRNAs corresponding amino acid is attached (by aminoacyl-tRNA synthetases). tRNAs cope with the degeneracy of the genetic code in two manners: having more than one tRNA (with a specific anti-codon) for a particular amino acid; and 'wobble' base-pairing, i.e. permitting non-standard base-pairing at the 3rd anti-codon position. The record is from Rfam by way of RNAcentral. Lineage: Eukaryota; Metazoa; Chordata; Mammalia; Rodentia; Heteromyidae.
GGCGCUGUGGCUCAAGUGGUAGAGCGCCAGCCUGGAGCUGAAGAGCUGAGGGACAGCGCCCAGGGCGUGAGUUCAAGUCCCACCACUGGCA